UUAAAAAUGAUGUAGACAUUGAUUUAACCUUUUUUUUUUUUUUAAGAUUCUAUUUAUUUAUUUGUCAGAGAGAGAGAGAGCACAAGCAGAGGGAGCAGCAGAGGGAGAAGCAGGCUCCUUGCCGAGCAAGCAGGGAGCCGGAUUCGGAAUUCCAUCCCGGGACCCUGGGAUCAUGACCUAAGCCAAAGGCAGAUGCUUAACUGACUGAGCCACCCAGGCAUCCCUACAUUGAUUUACCUUAAAAGAACCCUGCAAAUGUGAUACAAAGUUGCAUCAUGUAGAUCUCUCCAAUAAUUCAUUGCCCUGUGCUGGGUGCUUUGGAACCCAAUAAGUAGCUGUGGGAGAACAGGCCAACCUGUGGUGUUCAUUGGAAGAGGAGGGGAACGUGACAUACUAAAUUUUAAUCCCAAGCACUGAGGUGUGCAAUAUGGUGAUUCAACAAUUCUAUACAUUACUCAGUGCUCAUCGAGGGAAACCAUCCACCAGCAUUGUGACUCCAGAAGCUACUAAAGAGACAGGAUUGAAGGAACUUGGCUCCUCCCUGGACGCAGAAUGAAGACCACUAUUUAAUGCGUCAAACUCUUCCAAAUACUUCCCCAUUGAACUGACGGACAUUAGGUUCCUGAACCCAGGGACUCUGUCACAGAGAGCAGCUAAGCCUGCCACCCACUGUCACAGAAGGCAGCCUCCGGAUGCCAGGGCUCCCCACGUGGACUAGACCCAGAGCACCUUCACCUCAACCCGUAAUUCUGCUCGGGAAGUAGGAAAAGGAAGGGUGGGUCUCCUUGUUCCCAGAAUACACCUGGCCGAACCCCCAAAUCGGGUCAAGGAAAUAAAAUAAUCGACUACCUGGAGCUUCCUGGAAUCACUGCUGAUAGGACCCCGAACACCAGCAUCCUUAUUUAAGCUGAAGCAGACAACUACCGCCAGGUGGCGCCAACCGCAGCGUCCCAGCUUGAACAGGUAAUACAACUGGUCAGUGGCCAACGUCGCAAAAACCAGAAUCUGACUCAAAGACCAGUGUUCUUUGUCACCCCCCGGCCUGACCAUUCAUUUAGUCAGUCAACAAACAUCCAUUGAGCUGCUUCUAUAUACUGGGCAAUCGAGAAGCAAAGACACGCCAGGCUAUGAGGGUAUGGAUCACAAAAAGGAACCUUGAAACUAUCAGUUUCAUGGAAAUUCCUGACUUUAACAAGCUAAAGAAAUGCAGUGCUCCUCCUGUGCAUGUAGAAUGGUAGAACUGGAAAUGUUGUAGGCUCCACACCCAGCGUGGAGCUCAACCUGGAGUUUGAACUCACGACCCUGAGAUCAAGACCUGAGGGGAGAUCAAGAGUUGGAUGCUUGACCUACUGAGUGAUCCAGUUGACCAUCUAGCAAAUUUGGUCAUACUCCUCCUCUCCUGAUCUGGACAACACAAGUCCUGCAUAAUCCCUUUUCAUGUCAGAGAGAUCAUGUGAUGAACAAAUUCCAGAGGAAAUACUGGGUGUAUAGGACUCUUAUUAAAUGGUGUUCACUGAAGAUCAGAAAGGGUGAUUCAACUGGCUGGCCCUGAUGUACUUAGGGAAACCUCACUUAGCCUCUUCUAGACCAUCACACCUUCUACCUUUCAGUGCAACUUCCCUAUUUUUUCUAAGGGAAAAAGUAUAAAUAAAAUAAUAUUUUAAAUAGAAGAUUUAGAAAGUAAGACAAUCAGAUGGUUUAUGUAUAUUCAACAACAUUUGGGAACAGGAUAUCAUGGGCUCUGGAACCUGGUUUCAAGCCUUGGAUUCAUUCUUACUAACAGUUAAUUAGUCACUCUGUGACUCAGUUUCCCUAACUGUCAAAUGGUCAAUAGUAUUUAUUUGUUAGUCUUAAUAUUGGUUGACUAUAUAUGUUAUUAUAUAUAAAUAUAUAAGAC
Molecule: long non-coding RNA, 1897 nt
Organism: Mirounga angustirostris (Northern elephant seal)
Lineage: Eukaryota; Metazoa; Chordata; Mammalia; Carnivora; Phocidae
Exons: 11
Source: RefSeq, a predicted model, not a curated record